RNAcentral lists this ribosomal RNA (253 nucleotides) under uncultured bacterium. RNAcentral describes it as "partial 16S ribosomal RNA". It matches the Rfam family "Bacterial small subunit ribosomal RNA", at positions 524 to 776 of the family's 1533-position model. The record is from RNAcentral.
UACGUAGGGUGCGAGCGUUAAUCGGAAUUACUGGGCGUAAAGCGUGCGCAGGCGGUUUUGUAAGUCAGAUGUGAAAUCCCCGGGCUCAACCUGGGAACUGCGUUUGAAACUACAAGGCUAGAGUGUAGCAGAGGGGGGUAGAAUUCCACGUGUAGCAGUGAAAUGCGUAGAGAUGUGGAGGAAUACCAAUGGCGAAGGCAGCCCCCUGGGUUAACACUGACGCUGAGGCACGAAAGCGUGGGGAGCAAACAGG